Molecule: ribosomal RNA, 421 nt
Filed under: uncultured archaeon
Lineage: Archaea
Description: bacterial SSU rRNA
Rfam family: Archaeal small subunit ribosomal RNA
Source: RNAcentral
CUCAGUAACACGUGGAUAACCUGCCCUUAGGACUGGCAUAACCCCGGGAAACUGGGGAUAAUUCCGGAUAGUUCAUGGUAGCUGGAAUGCUCCAUGAUCGAAAGCUAUUGCGCCUAAGGAUGGGUCUGCGGUCUAUCAGGUAGUAGUGGGUGUAAUGUACCUACUAGCCGACGACGGAUACGGGUUGUGGGAGCAAGAGCCCGGAGAUGGAUUCUGAGACAUGAAUCCAGGCCCUACGGGGCGCAGCAGGCGCGAAAACUUUACAAUGCGGGAAACCGCGAUAAGGGGACACCGAGUGCCAGCAUCUUAUGUUGGCUGUCCGCAUGUAUAAAUCACAUGUGUUAGCAAGGGCCGGGCAAGACCGGUGCCAGCCGCCGCGGUAACACCGGCGGCCCGAGUGGUGGCCACUAUUAUUGGGUCU